GCCAGCGUGGUGUAGUGCUUUGAGCACUGGGCUACAACUCUGGAGAUCAGGGUUCGAGUCCCUGCUUGGCC
RNAcentral lists this transfer RNA (71 nucleotides) under Phrynosoma platyrhinos (Desert horned lizard). RNAcentral describes it as "tRNA-OTHER". The record is from RNAcentral. Lineage: Eukaryota; Metazoa; Chordata; Lepidosauria; Squamata; Phrynosomatidae.